RNAcentral lists this ribosomal RNA (427 nucleotides) under uncultured bacterium. RNAcentral's name for it is "partial 16S ribosomal RNA". It matches the Rfam family "Bacterial small subunit ribosomal RNA", at positions 355 to 774 of the family's 1533-position model. The record is from RNAcentral.
UGGGGAAUAUUGGACAAUGGGCGAAAGCCUGAUCCAGCCAUGCCGCGUGUGUGAAGAAGGUCUUCGGAUUGUAAAGCACUUUAAGUUGGGAGGAAGGGCAUUAACCUAAUACGUUAGUGUUUUGACGUUACCGACAGAAUAAGCACCGGCUAACUCUGUGCCAGCAGCCGCGGUAAUACAGAGGGUGCAAGCGUUAAUCGGAAGUACUGGGCGUAAAGCGCGCGUAGGUGGUUUGUUAAGUUGGAUGUGAAAUCCCCGGGCUCAACCUGGGAACUGCAUUCAAAACUGACUGACUAGAGUAUGGUAGAGGGUGGUGGAAUUUCCUGUGUAGCGGUGAAAUGCGUAGAUAUAGGAAGGAACACCAGUGGCGAAGGCGACCACCUGGACUAAUACUGACACUGAGGUGCGAAAGCGUGGGGAGCAAACA